UCUCAAGAUCAUUAGUGAGAUUAAGUUCGAUUUUAGCGAUAUCAUUAUCCGCAUAUGUCAAGUGAGUAUCGUCUGCAAACAUACGAGGCUGUGAAUGUGAGAGGCAAUUCGGCAAAUCAUUUAUAUACAAUAAAAAUAAUAACGGCCCUAGUAUUGUACCUUGAGGAACACCACAUGUUAAUGCGCGGUUUUCGGAUAGACACCCAUCAGGAAAGCGUAAACUGUUAAUUCCUGACCCGUGGCGCUAGUCCAUUCAAACUGAAUCAAAUCGCUUUGUUCUCCGCGAUGUUUUCCGGGUAGUAUAUGUCUAGAACUGAAUCGAAAUCUGCGCGUAAAAGUGCUUGUUCAGCAGCAAUACAAAAGAUGAUCUCACUGGCCAGUCAUCAAGAAAUAGCACAGGUACUGCAGACAACGUGGAUGUAAAUACUGAUUCUGAUGAUGUACCGAACUAACCGAAGUAAGCUCAACAUCGACG
Paramuricea clavata is the source of this 475-nucleotide non-coding RNA. Lineage: Eukaryota; Metazoa; Cnidaria; Anthozoa; Malacalcyonacea; Plexauridae. The record is from the annotation of a GenBank genome assembly.